Molecule: transfer RNA, 69 nt
Filed under: Ictidomys tridecemlineatus (thirteen-lined ground squirrel)
Lineage: Eukaryota; Metazoa; Chordata; Mammalia; Rodentia; Sciuridae
Description: Spermophilus tridecemlineatus (thirteen-lined ground squirrel) tRNA
Rfam family: tRNA
About the family: Transfer RNA (tRNA) molecules are approximately 80 nucleotides in length.
Source: Rfam by way of RNAcentral
GGGAUUGUGGCUCAGUAGUAUAGUACUUGCCUAGCAUGCAUGAGGCACUGGGUUCAAUCCCCGGCACCA